Molecule: long non-coding RNA, 375 nt
Organism: Ictalurus punctatus (channel catfish)
Lineage: Eukaryota; Metazoa; Chordata; Actinopteri; Siluriformes; Ictaluridae
Source: Ensembl
AAAUAAUUUCUCAUGUUGUUUGACUGGAAAUUUUGAGUUAUUUGUGUUAAUAUUUGUGUAAUGCUUAUAUUAUAUAUAAUCAGUAUUUCCCAUUUUUCCGAAGGGUGCCAAUAAUUCUGGAAGACUACACAGUGUAUGUGGUCAUGGUGUUCAUUUAAUGAUUUACAUCCAUUAAACACUGUCUACUGUCACCAACAUACUGAUGAGGUUGCUCGCUGUGUUCAGUUGUAGUCAGGUGUGUUAGUGCAGUCAGGUGUGUUAGUGUGUUCAGGUGUGUUCGUGUGUUCAGGUGUGUUAGUGUGGUCAGGUGUGUUCGUGUGUUCAGGUGUGUUAGUGUGUUCAGGUGUGUUAGUGUGUUCAGGUGUGUUAGUGUGG